This 446-nucleotide ribosomal RNA is filed under the name uncultured bacterium. Its description in RNAcentral is "partial 16S ribosomal RNA". It matches the Rfam family "Bacterial small subunit ribosomal RNA", at positions 338 to 795 of the family's 1533-position model. The record is from RNAcentral.
CCUACGGGUGGCUGCAGUCGAGAAUCAUUCACAAUGGGGGAAACCCUGAUGGUGCGACGCCGCGUGGGGGAAUGAAGGUCUUCGGAUUGUAAACACCUGUCAUGUGGGAGCAAAUUAAAAAGAUAGUACCCCAAGAGGAAGAGGCGGCUAACGCUGUGCCAGCAGCCGCGGUCAUACCGAGGUGGCAAGCGUUGUUCGGAAUCACAGGGCGUAAAGCGUGCGUAGGCUGUUUCGUAAGUCGUGUGUGAAAGGCGCGGGCGUAACCCGCGGACGGCACAUGAUACUGGGAGACUAGAGUAAUGGAGGGGGGAGUGGAAUUCUCGGUGUAGCGGUGAAAUGCGUAGAGAUCGAGAGGAACACUCGUGGCGAAGGCGGGUCCCUGGACAAUGACUAACGCUGAGGUACGAAGGCCAGGGGAGCGAAAGGGAUUAGAUACCCCGGUAGUC